This 400-nucleotide ribosomal RNA is filed under the name Klebsiella pneumoniae. RNAcentral describes it as "bacterial SSU rRNA". It matches the Rfam family "Bacterial small subunit ribosomal RNA", at positions 902 to 1302 of the family's 1533-position model. The record is from RNAcentral. Lineage: Bacteria; Pseudomonadati; Pseudomonadota; Gammaproteobacteria; Enterobacterales; Enterobacteriaceae.
CAAAUGAAUUGACGGGGGCCCGCACAAGCGGUGGAGCAUGUGGUUUAAUUCGAUGCAACGCGAAGAACCUUACCUGGUCUUGACAUCCACAGAACUUAGCAGAGAUGCUUUGGUGCCUUCGGGAACUGUGAGACAGGUGCUGCAUGGCUGUCGUCAGCUCGUGUUGUGAAAUGUUGGGUUAAGUCCCGCAACGAGCGCAACCCUUAUCCUUUGUUGCCAGCGGUUCGGCCGGGAACUCAAAGGAGACUGCCAGUGAUAAACUGGAGGAAGGUGGGGAUGACGUCAAGUCAUCAUGGCCCUUACGACCAGGGCUACACACGUGCUACAAUGGCAUAUACAAAGAGAAGCGACCUCGCGAGAGCAAGCGGACCUCAUAAAGUAUGUCGUAGUCCGGAUUGGA